Molecule: ribosomal RNA, 250 nt
Filed under: uncultured bacterium
Lineage: Bacteria
Description: partial 16S ribosomal RNA
Rfam family: Bacterial small subunit ribosomal RNA
Source: RNAcentral
UACGAAGGGGGCUAGCGUUGCUCGGAAUCACUGGGCGUAAAGCGCACGUAGGCGGACUCUUAAGUCAGGGGUGAAAUCCUGGAGCUCAACUCCAGAACUGCCUUUGAUACUGGGAGUCUCGAGUUCGGGAGAGGUGAGUGGAACUGCGAGUGUAGAGGUGAGAUUCGUAGAUAUUCGCAAGAACACCAGUGGCGAAGGCGGCUCACUGGCCCGAUACUGACGCUGAGGUGCGAAAGCGUGGGGAGCAAAC